This 65-nucleotide transfer RNA is filed under the name Xenoturbella bocki. RNAcentral's name for it is "transfer RNA-Leu (CUN)". The record is from RNAcentral. Lineage: Eukaryota; Metazoa; Xenacoelomorpha; Xenoturbellidae.
UUUAUAAUAGUAUAGCCCAUACAUUAGAUUUAGGAUCUAGAGACGAGAUAAUAUCUCUUAUAAAA